Molecule: non-coding RNA, 177 nt
Organism: Podarcis lilfordi (Lilford's wall lizard)
Lineage: Eukaryota; Metazoa; Chordata; Lepidosauria; Squamata; Lacertidae
Source: the annotation of a GenBank genome assembly
GGCUGUGAGUCUCAGUGGUUAGAGCACCUGCCUUGCGCAGUGAAGCCGCUCAGGGGGCAUCUCUGAAUUAAAACCAGCCCUUUCUUCCCACCCCUGAAACCCCCUGGAAACCUGGGUUUAUUCUGAGCAGGUGCUUGGCAUGCAGAAGGCCCCGGGUUCGGAUCCUGGCCACGGCUG